GUGUGUGUGUGUGUGUGUGUGUGUGUGUGUGUGUGUGUGUGUGUGUGCGCGCACACACACAUAAGUAUAGUAUAAAACAUAUAAGACAUUACCAGCCUUGUCUCUCUGGGUGUCCAAACAGCACACGUCUGAGUGGCUGAGUGGUGGGGCAUCAUGUCCUGGCUUGUCCUCCCCCUGCUCCAGCAUUAUAUGCUUGUGUGCACAUCAUCAAGUGUGAGAUGAAAAUUACUUGCUAAAAUUGAACAAGCACAAAUAUUUUCCCUCCAUUCCUGGCACACAGACACAUGAUUUAGAGCUCAGUUUGGGUAGCAGCCAACAUUCCUAUAGACAGUGAAGGCAGUGAGAGGCACAUAUCAGCAUGAGACAAGCAAGAUCCACACAUAACCAACAUCACAAAGGUGUGAGGAGCAAGCCUGUGGCUGCCCUGCCACCCUCAGUGCAGAGCUGCCAGCCACUCAGACCACCAUACAGUGAAUAAGUGAAGCACAACAUAAGGCACAAAAAGAUAUCAACGUUCCAGUACUACUGUUGUAUUAGAUGUACCCUGCAUAUGCAUUAACCUCUUGGACACACAGACAGACGGAUGCGUAGAGAUUUGCUUAUACGCAUGUGUCCAUGUUGCUUUCAGUGGCAUAUCAUAAUUUUAGCCAUAAUACGUAAUCCCUUUUUAUGUCAUCGUGUACUGUGGUGUGUCUGUGUGUCGUAGUACUGCCUGUGUAGCCGAUAGUCUUGUACAGUGGGUGUGGGAAGGUGGUGUCUGGCAGAGGGAGUGGGGCAGUGCGGCGCUGGUGCUGGAGGCGCGGUGCUGUUGUGCUGUGUCCGCGCCGUGUGGCAUUUAUCCAAGCUUUUGUGUUUACAUUUAACUUUGAACCAAGAAUUUAUGAUACAUUGCAUGUUAUAAUUAUUGCCUUACAAAUAUUAUAUGUACUCAUUUAAUUUGUGAAAGGUUUUCGUUUCCAGGAGAUAUUGCAGAUCUGUUUUCAUUAUGGAAGUUAGUUAAUAAUAGUAAGUGUACGGAGCAAACUUUCAAGGACAUGCAAAUUCAUCAACACUUUUCACUGUAUUUUUGGUAAGAGUGAAACUAAAAUACUUUUAAGUGAUUACAAAAAUCACUCUCAUCUUUAUCUUUCAUAGAGCCAAAAAAUUAAAGCAUGCAGUUUACUGAAGAGACAGUUAAUUUUAUCAAUCCCAUAAUAGAAAAUAAUGACAUUAAACGAAUCAUCAUGAGACAACCAAUAAAUAGGUAUCUUUCACAGUACCAGCAUUAUAACAAGUGAUUUACUAAAGAAACAGUUAAUAUUAUCACUCCCAUAAGAGAAAGUAAGAACACCAAACAAAAUUAUGAUGUAUGAUGAAACAAUUGAUAAGUAACACAUCUAACUUAUGCCAAAACAGUAACUGACAGACAUCCUUGAGCUUUUCAGAAAUUUGGAAAAUCAGACUGUCUUUCCUGUGUAUAAAAAUAGCAUAUAGGAAAAGGAGCAGCAAUUUAGAAAUUAUUAUAUCGUGUAAGGAGACUCGCCAACGUCAUGAAGCGUUGAAUCGAAAAGCAUGACAAUAUUAACCCUUUAACUGAUACAGCUGUCUUUGUUAGCAUAGAGAUCCUUGUAAUAAAUUGUUUGGAUGGACAAAGAGAAAGAGAAAAAAGAAUAAGGUUAAUUUCAUCUUUGCUUAGCUUUAGAAAUACAUUUUUAAGAGAUUAGUACAAAAAAUAUCUAUUAAAAGUUUAAAUGAUAAUGGGAAAGAUCAGCAAGUAUUUAAAGGGUUAACAAACUUACUUUUUUUUAUUUCUCUAUAUUUGUUGAAAGGAGUUAAACUGAGAAGGGGAGAAAAGCUAGAUGCAUUUGACAGAGUUGUUUACUUACAUUGAACUUUUAAGAGUUGAUGGGAAUGGUUUGGUUUGGUAGAGAAUAUAGAAUAAUGAAAGUGCUUUGUGGUUACAUAUUUACUUUUAUUAUUAUGAUUGCUGUUUUCCUCCUCCUCCUCCUCCUCCUCCUCCAGCUUCAUUAUUCUAUUUCUCAUGUGUGGUAUAAUUUUCACAGCCAAUCCUUUUCUCUUCAACAGUUCAUUUUCAUGCUUCUCCUUUGAUAUGAAAACCACACCAUUGCUCCAUAUUCCAGCCUCAGUUGUGUGUGUGUGUGUGUGUGUGUGUGUGUGUGUGUGUGUGUGUGUGUGUGUGUGUGAGAGAAUAACUAGCUGGUAGACACACUCACUAUACAGAGAAGAGACUAUGUAUGUAUGUAUAUUUUUAGUCCUUUUUUUUAGUUAGAUUCUUUAGGACGUGAAUAUAUAUAUAUACCUUGAACCUCUAUAGUAUGAAUGGUAUAUGUGACUCUUAGUUGGAUCAAAGUAUAGACGUAUUUUGGAGACGAGACAACACAAGCUGGGUUUAAAUCCUCUAAUAAUACAGCUAGGUUAAUGUAACUCUAAACUUUAACGUAUAGUCACGGUAUGAAUUAUGUAAGAAUGUCAGUGUGUGUGUGUGUGUGUGUGUGUGUGUGUAUUGGAUAAAUGUGUUUCAGUAUAUAAUGUUUUGUAAACCAAAUUUGUGCUGCAUUCACUGGAAAAUAUCUCAGUCACUUCAUAUAAUAUCUACCUAUUAUUGCAUUUUUUUUUUUUCACAUUUUUAUAUGAAAACACUGCAGAACUUUACUCAUGCUUACUUCUGUGAAUCCUUGACUCACACUGUCUGCUGGAAUGGAUGAGGGUACACAGUGGUACAGUCCAGAACUCAAGUAACUUUCUGCACCACUGCUUAACAUUCUCUUCAAGUCUUAACACUCGUAUUCUGAAACACUUUUGUAGUGUACCUCUACUACAUUCAAAAAGCCUCUAAUUAAAGUUACAGGGGUUUUUAAGUGUGUUUUUAUAGUUUUAGUGACAGAUUAACAUGAUUUCUGCAUUAUUAACUGGAAAAAACACUUCAGAAUCUCUGUGGUAUUUGGAAAUAGUCAUGGUGAGACAGCAAAGCAUUUCAGAUGACAAAUCUAAGUCCUCUGAUCUGUCCUAAGUCUCCUGCAGAAAGCUGAUAGAUUGUUGACCUAUCCAUCUAUGUACCAGGCCAGCAGUCCCACACACAGCACAGAUAAAGCACCACAAACUUUUACACACAAAAGAGUGAAGAAAGAUAUGAAAGAAUAUAGUUUUCCUGACAGAGCAAUCAGCCAGUGGAAUUCAUUGACCAACAAAAUUAGAAGAUAAAUAUGAAAAAUUAACUGAAAGAUGGAUAUGAUCUUGACUCAAUACUGUGAAAAUACAUUUAGGUGAGAACAUCAUUCACACUGAGCCCCAUCAGCCCCUGGUGGAAACAGCAGAUGAGAGGAUGUAAAAUUGAGGAAAGCACAAAAUGGAAUGUUAGUGAGUGCAAAUUGUUACUUGACUUUUGUUCGUGUACAGUGCAGUGUCAAGUGUUAGGUGCAGAUUUUAGUUCAUGGCUGAGCUGUAUGAGGAUCUCACAAGUUCUGAUUACUCCGUAGAGUUUGUUUUUGUUCCCUUCUUCCUACUUUUGAGUUAGACGUCAAUGAAAAUGAAGUAGAGAGGUUUUACUGUUGUAGCGCGUUAAUGCUGUGAUAGUAUAGGGUCUUCAGUAUUUUUUGAGUAAACAUUAUAUAUGACACUUCUUAGAAAUUAUGAAGGAAAAAGAUCUUUGAAGAACUAUAAUAAAUCAUAUGUAUAUAAUAUCAAUCAUAAAGUGAAGAGGACAUUCAGAAGGUCUAUAUAAUUUUUUUCCUUUUUUUAAUAUGAAUUGCAUGUUUUGUUUUUUAUGUAUUUUUAGAAGAGGUUGGAUACGUGUACAUAUUUAUUUAACUGACCGAAGUAAAUGAAGUUACGUACAUACAUAUUAAGACGUGCAAACAUAACGUACAUACAUACAUACAUAGAAGAAGAGAUAUCAAGAAUAUUAUAGCAUCUUUUUUGCAAGUCAUAGAUUAUUAUCUUGUCUGCAUUUGCUUAGUGUGUGAUGGCAAACUUUAGAUAUACAUAAUGUACUAUUCUUUAUCAGGAACAAAGGAAACACCAAGUUGGUUCAUUUGUUGCUUCCUGUGUUUAGCUUUAUAGAGUUUGUCUGGAGGUGCCAACCCUUCCCUUCCCACUGCUCCCUCUCAGCAUUCAUUCAUUGAGGGAGGAGGAGUGGAGGCAGGAGGACAGGAGUACACCACAGAUGAAUUUUCUAAUAUACAUGUAAAUAGUUAGGUACUUUGUGUGUGUGCAGUUUUAAUUUUAUAACUUGACUGUUUUUCAAGUGUUGGUAAAGUCACAGUCAGGAGUGGAGCAGUCUACCUCACUCCCUUCCACUGUGCUGAGCGUUUGGCCUCAGUUGUGGGUCCUCUGAUCUGCUGAGUCUUGCUUGUUCACGGAUAGACUGCCAAUAGACCAGAGAACUUCACUCCUUCACUGGUAAAGAUAAUACAACACUUUCUUUCAUUUGAUUCAACCUUGGUGAAAUUAAGUGAGCAAAAUUAAAUUGUACCUGAGGUACAAAAAAUUUUAGACUGUUCACUUAUUUUGGUAUUUUAGCUUUCAGAAUUACAUCUAAACUCAAACUAGACUAUUUUGUGAAGCUUCAAAGUGUCGCAGAAGUGCAGAGAUUCAGAGUGAGGACAAAUCUUAAGUGCAGCAGAAGGGAGUGAGGCAGACUGAUCAACCUCUGGUUAUUAUUGUGCAUCCAUGUCACAUUCUCAUAAUAAGGCGAGUGGCACACAGGGGCGGUGGUGUCCAGGAGUGAGUGUUCACCACCAGCGCUUGGCAAUGUCCUUCUGUAUUCAUAUUCACCUUAUUUGACCAUUUCAUAUUUGUAAAGAAACCGACCCACAACAAUGGCUGUCUAAGCUUGAUAACCUUUUUUUUUAUAUAUAUAAUUGUAUAGUAUAUUUUAAAUUUAGCCAUAAUGUAGUACUUAAUACUGAGUGUGAAAAAUCUGAUACUUGCUGAAAAAUUCUCCAUUACUGUACAAGGAUGAGCAAGGCACCGACAGCAGUGGCUUGUGUGAUCCGCAAGCAGGGAGGCUUGGCGGACUCACUUCCCCCAGAUAAUCCACCUGAUUACCUCCAUUAUUUACACAUCAUCCGUCUUUUGUUCACUUGUCAUGUAUUAGCAUAUUUAUUUAUAUAUGUGCAAGAUUUGUUAUUGAACUCAAAUGACAUUUCAUGUUCCUGUUUUUUUUUUUUUCUGGUUCUCAUUAAAAUCUCAUUAACAUAAGAAUAAUGCCUUUUCUAUUUUAUAUUCUGAACACAUUAAUCAACACAAGCAUCAUAUUCAUAUCUAUUAUCAAAAUUUACUAUUAACAAUCAAAGAUUUUUGUUUUCAUGUAUGUGCAGAAGUGUUUUCCAUAAUGUUUCCUUGUAAAUCUUCCUAGUUUUAGUUAACUCACAUUCUUUCCCAUUUAAAGCGCAUUGAGAUUUGUAUCAUCUUGAUUUUAUUCUUUCUCUUUGAUUAUUAUUACUAAUAACUUUGACUCAAAACUCGGAGUGUGAGUGGUUUCAGUUUGGUGGAGCUGAGAUCCUGUCCAAGCAGAUCCCAAGUGAUUCCCAAAGAGACAAAUUUAGCAUCUUGUUACUUGUUGUGGUGUUGUGUUGCUCCUCACUAAGAGAAGGGAAGAGUCCUUGGCUGUAAGAUGUCAAUGUUCCUCUGAAAUAAUACUGUUCAUGGUUGACUAUGUCACUGCUAAAUGUCAUCAUUGUUGCCUGUGUCAUGGUGUCAUGUUAUAUCAACUUCAGCUGUGUGUCUGGUGCAGGCCGAAGGUGAGGAGGUGGAGGUGCAACACUCCAGCCUGCAGGAAAGGUUUGGGAGUGGCAACAGAGGACUGCACAUGUGUGUGUGUGUGUGUGUGUGUGUGUGUGUGCAUCUACUUAAGUCCCCUCUAUUGGUCCAUGCUAGCAUAAUGAAUCUGUUAUUAAUUUGUUUAUUUUAAGGCACGUCGUAUAUAUAUUGACUUUAUCGGGCAAGGUUUGUGUUUGAGAGCACAGAGAUUCCUGUAUCAUAGUGUGAGGCAUGUGCUGUGUGCUUGUCAUCACUUGGUUUUGUAAGCAUUGAAAUUUUUGCUGUACAGUGAAAACUGUUAUUUUUCUAGUGUUAACAGCUGUAAUGGGCCCAGAUCAGCAACAAGAUGAGAAUUUAUUACUAAAUGUACUCGUCUGUUACUCUUCUCAUUCUUGUUGGCGGAGGUGCGGGGCGCGGUGAGAGGGGCGGGGCCAGCCCGGCACAUGAGGGGCGGGUCUCUGUACUUAAGGAUGCUGUGAAAGGUUAAUCCUGUCCAUUUCUUAUACAGUAUAUUGUGUUUCUUGGCAUUGACUUGUUGUGAAUUUUGAAGUGUCGUCAUUUACAACAUAAACAUGUGCUGCUGUAUCUGUACCUCUCGAGAGUGGAGAAUUCAACAAAGUGUCAUUUUAUAGCAUGUCCUUCAGUACUUUGGCCUCGUAUGUGCCUAUUAUAUAAAUACAUAUAUAUGAAAGAAUUGCUAUAUAAAUAUAUGAACAGAUAUAUUGUAUUUAAAAAAAAAAUCUAAAUACAGUCACCAUAUCUACCCUCCAUUACCUAGGACUAGACCAGUAUACCCUAGCGCUGGCCAGCGAUGGCGGCUUCGGCACCACCGCUAGGCUACCCGUGUCGGCAGGACUGUAAAUGUUAUGUUAGUGUUGUGGUGUGAGGUACGUCAAGGCUCCCCACAUAUAUCAAUGAACUUGUAGGUUGACUUGUUACCACCUAUAGAAGUAUUGGUGCUUUUUUUCAGUGUUAUUCCAGCAAAAGGUGCGUCAGUCACGGCAGCGUGGCGGCGAUUCAGUGUGUUUUGUAUCAGUGGUUGGAUUGGCUGUGGUUUGGUUAGUUGAGCCACGUCUUAUGUUCAGGAUAUCACAGUACUGCUACUACUACUACUGCUACCACGACAAACACAAACACAUAUCGCUCUCCGUGUUUGAGGUCAUCAUGAGUUCACGUGUUUGAGUUGGUCAUUAGUGACUUGUAGCUGUUCAUUCUUCAGGAGACUCGCACCCCGUUUUUUUUUUUUUUUUUUUUUAUUUACUUUUAUUUAUUUAUUUUAUUUUUUUUUUUUUAUUCGCAGAGGUUAUUAUUGUUGUUGUGACAAGUAUUUCCCUGUGUAUAUUGUAUUACACUCACACAGAUGAGUUCAUAUCCUUCUCUAGUGAUUUAUUAUUAUUAUUAUUAUUAUUAUUAUUAUUAUUAUUAUUUGUGUGGGGUUCGUCACUUGUAUUGUUUGUCCCUCUUCUGAAAGUCCCUAGUCCACGGACGGUUUAAAGCUUCAGUAUGUAUAUAUAAAUUGACAAAUAUAUCAUUAUAUUAAAUAUAAAGAGCAGUUCAUGCACUUUCCAUCUUUCCUGUGUGAGAGGCGUGAAACUGUCUGCCUGACCGUUUUUCUGUUUGUCUAUCUACUGUUUUUAUCUCAAGCCAGUCGAAAGGAAGUCGAUACUUCCUUUCCAUGAUAAUCUAAUGUAGUUAGUUGAUUAGACUAUCAUAUUCACUUUUAGACAACUUUUUUUCAUAAUCACUAUCAGCUUGAUAUGUUACGCAUUCUUUGUACUGCUUUCACUUAAAUAGUUUUGUAGCUUAGAAAAGCAUAAAUUUUCUUUAUUUCUUUAUUUUUAUUUUAUUUUAUUUAUUUUAUUUUUUUGCGUGUGUGUAAACAAUCAUUUAUUUAUUUAUUUAUUUAUUUAUUUAUUAUUAUUUUAUUUUUUUUACAAUGGUCUGAAUGUUACCAAUAGACCAUAUGAAUAAAAGGAGUUAGGUAGGAAUGUAAUAGGAUUCUGGGGGCCUGCAUGAUUCAUGCACAAGGUAACCAGGCAACCAGUCAUCAUGUAUUGAAGGAGGAGGUAAAGGUGCAGCCAGCCCUCUCGAUGGGUAAGUAGUUGUUUAUCCUGCUUGUGUAUUCAUAACAGGGAUAAUUAUUACUGUUGUCGCAGAAGAAGAGGAAGUAUUAUAUAACACUGCUUUUUAACCAAAAGUUUUAUUUCUCAAGACUAUUUUCAAAGUCCACAGAGAUGAUUAGCUGAGUCCUCGUUUUCUUUUUUUUUUUUAUAGACUACUUACUACUUAAACUAUCAUUUGAGUAGUAAAAAAAAAAAAACAUCAGAGCCUGUUAACCCUUUCACAGUAUGGCACAUCUCUUCUUAAUUACUAAUCACUGAGACGUCUCCUUGUCUUACAGUAACUUCCAAACUAGAAAUUGCAGAAUGUAUUCUUCUAAUCCCUUUCUUUCUUUUACAUGUGGAUAGUAAAGAUUUUAUAUAUUAUUUAUAUGGUGGUGUAAAUUGGUGCGUAUCGCGGCGAAAUCUUUGGGAAAUUGGUUGUAUUUCUAUCUACCUUAAGCAAUAUCUUGACCAACUUCAGCAUUACUUGGGAUUAGUCUUAUCAUUCCUUUCUCUCUUGCACUUUUCACUAUCUCGUUAAGUAAAUAUUCACAUCCACUCAUCGUUAAAUGCACCUACUUGCAUGUUGCAGUUGAUCUAAUCAUUCACAAACAUACCUGGGCAGCGACACAUUGCAGUUACCACGCAAUUACUGCGGUCAGGUAGUUCUUUAAUUACUUUACAGGUAUUUUCAAGUGAUCAGGUAACGUUCCUAUUCUUGUAAUAACUAAUUUCAUCACUAUGGAGGAAUUAUUCACUUGAGUACGUAGAUAUGACCUGAAAGAGAUUAAUGAGAUACGGAAACUACAAUGACGAGUGGUAGAAAGAAAUUAAAUGUAAUUAAUCAAGAGAGAGAGAGAGAGAGAGAGAGCUUAUUAUGUCUUUAUGGGGGGACGGAGGUAGUGGGAGGAAUCACGUGACCAACUCUUGCUUCUCUAAUGCGACGCCGUUGGUUUCCCAGUGCCUCGGUAGAUGUCAUGGAGGAAGGAUGUGUGGUGCUGGUCUUCUGAAUGUUUGUUCCUGUGCUGUGGGAUACGUUUUGUGGGUGAUUUAUGAGUACGUGAAGCUGUAACGCCGCUGCCUUCACCAUCACGUCGUUCCAGCACAAGUGAUGACCUCCGUUGCUGCUGCCGCCGCCACCACCACCUGCAUCUUGGGACUGCAGAUGUCAUUCUCUUUGGGAGAGUACCUCAUUGUAUUCUGGGAUAUGUGGAAUGUUUUGUGUGAAAUUUAGUGGAGGUUAAGCUGUGAAUUCUGAAAUCGCGUAUCCAGGUUAAUUCAUUGUCUUCAACAGGUGUUGCUUUACCACCAGCUAGUGCACUCCUCAGCUGCCGCCACUAGGAAGGAACAUCAGUAACUUCCCUCCAGAACCCCUUUGUGUUCCAUACUAUAUCACCUUUUGCGUCAGUGUUCCAUACUAUAUCACCUUUUGCGUCAGACUCAGUUGCCGGUAGUGUUGCUGGUGAGGAGCUGCUGUGUGUGUAAGAGUUCUAAGGACUCCCAACUUUUUAUUUAUUUAUUUAUUAUAAUUUAUUAUUAUUAUUAUUUUUUUUUUUUUUAUAUAUAUAUGUCCUGGUGAAAGGAAAUAAUUGAUCUCCGGAGAGUCUUCGAGGUAAAAUUAUGUAAACUUGAAUUUAGUAUUGUUCGCCAGAGAGUCUUCGAGGUAAAAUUUAGUAUUCCUCUCCGGAGUCUUCGAGGUAAAAUUUAGUAUUCCUCUCCGGAGAGUCUUCGAGGUAAAAUUGUGCUCGUUUGAAUAAAUUGUGCGAGACUUUAUAGCAAGCAUUUGGUUAGGUUUUCUUACCUUGGAUGUCGUCAUACAGAAUAUGAUGUAGGAUCAAUGACUGGAAUGUUUUGAGUUGAUCUAUCACAACUCUACAUCAAGGAGGCGGUGGAAGUAUAUGUGGCUUCUUCAGCAUUUAUUGACAAACACAAAACCAGGUAAUGCACCACUGGACUCUUCAAACAACAAGGCAUGUGUCACUGAGGAACAAACAUCCACUGGGUACCAAUAUCAGACAAGACUUUAUACAGAGGAACAAACCAAAGCAGACAAGCAAGGUUAAAAAAGAAAAAAUUACCCGUCAUAGGGAAGGUGAGCUACUCUGCUCACCUUCCUUGGUUUCUGUCGGGGUUUGUCGGACCUUCCUUGGUUUCCGUUUGACGUACACUAGUAUACACUAAUGACCACAAAUGUUGGUACAACAGCACUUUAGAAUGCAAGGAGGGGCUGUUAUACCCCUUUGACUAGAUCUUUGCAUGACAUCCUAGUGCAGGCAUGUACACAAUGGGACCAUAUAUGAUGGAUAGAGAUGUCUGCUGUGUGAAGUUUAUCUUCAGACUAGAAAAGCAGUCAUUGCUGUGAUCAACGUUUUUAAUUUUCAUUAGUUUUCAGAGCAGAUUAUCCCUUAAUUUCUCCCACUACACUUCACUCAUGCCUCUCAAAGUGGAGUGGUGGAAAAAUCCAAGUGGAAUGGAGUGGUGGCGAGGAAAUCAAUCAGGGACAAGAACUUUUUCUUCCAAUGAAAACUCAACCUUACCUUUUUCAGUUUUCCUUGAAAACUUAGAGGCAACAGUAGAAAAGCUACAAGUACAUCAGCUUCAUCCUGUCUUUCUCAUGACCAAAUUAUCUUCAUAGUGCAGAGAUUAUAUUACAGGCACAUUUAGACAAAUUACCUUGUCACUAAGGAUUGGUAUAUCUUCCUGUGAUCUCAUUACUGCAUUCUGGGCACUUAUGACAGAAACCAAGGGAAGUGUCCACUCAACAUAAAUGAGAUGAGACUGAACAGGUCUUCAAUUUGACAAAUAGGUGGCAAGGUGUGGAGUGGGAUCAACACAAGUGACGAUGGCGAUGCAGACACAUAAUCAUCACGUGCUAACCUAAAAAAUGCAUUGUGGUACAUUUAGUUUUCAUAAAUCCAAAAAAUAUAUAUACAUUUGUAAGGUAACAGUUCUAUGCAUUUCUGACAAGGGUCCAGCCAGCCACCUCUCCCCUCUUUGUGCCUUGGGUCUUUGGCGAGCUGACUGGCAACAGCAGAUUCUCCCUCCCUCCUCUGACUAAGCUUACUGGAAAUAAUGUUAGGGAGUGUGGCUGGCUGUCCCCAUUAUCCUGAACAACACCCAGGCAGACUGGCCAGAGAACCUUGCAUAAUUCCAAUCAGACACGCAUUCACAAUUUGUCAAUCAAGUCAUCCUAAUAAUAAAUGUAUGAUUUUUAGGCAACUUUAGGAAAUGAGGGAAUGAACAGCCUAAUGUGAAAUUUUUAAAUAGUUAAACCACAUCAUAGAAAAAAUUCCUCUGACACUUUGACACUCAGCUUUCAGCCACCUGCCAAGUACUAACCAACUGACUGACUGACUGGCACACCAACACCGACACACCCAAUUGAGCAAAGACCUUGGUACUCAUAGGAGUUAACCUGACUGACUGUAUUUCUUAUCAUGCUACCCAGUUCAGUGGGUACAAUAAAUGCAGCAGAGUGAAUGCUAUGUUUUUGGAAGGCACAGCACUCAAGCGAUUCACUCAGCACAGCACAGGAGGUGGCAAGGAAGGAGAGAGAGACAGUGAGAGAUCAAUAUUGCACUUCAUGUUGGACUAAAAGUUGCCAAGAAGAAGCAGAAUGUGUGCAGAAGUGUAGAAGCAAGAAAUGGAUUUGCUCUUGUCAUGGCGAAGCAGUCGUGGAAAGAACAUCACGUGCACUCACUCACUCGGGACAGAAGGGGAGUCUUGUGCUAUUUGUCGGCAUCAAAGCCUCACUUCAGCCAGAUCUUCCCCUAAAGUUCCAAGACUCAAGUGGUUCUUCACAUCAGGAAUAAGAAUCAGCUGCAUGUGGAGUAAAGUUGAAUGCAUGAAGUUCGGUUUUGUGCCACCUCCCCUCACACACGCUCACAGCUCAGACGUACACAUACAAACAAGCAUACACCACACACGUCCAUGCACACUCCCCCCCCCCUUGAGCUGUGCCUACCCUUAUUGUGGCAUCCUGCAGUGAGCCACCUAAAGCCCUUACUUCACACUCGAAUAAUCGUAACUUCAAUUCUUCCUUAAUUAGUAGAGACAUCACCUCCAAAAUUUGAUGCAAAAUCUUGUUUAAGUACAGCCUCAUUACACCACUUUUAUUCCUCAGUAAAUACAGUUUUCACUUCCCAAAAAGGUCACUUUGAUUCAAGUGGUUUCUUCAGUUAAGUUUGUUUUCCUUUUUUAUCACUUUAAUUUCUUUCCCCGCUGCAUCACAUCUCCCUCGUCAGCCACACACGCGAGUCUCCCACUCACAGACGGGCAUCACGGUGCCACAGGCUCUGACCUACAGGAAAAUAAAGUCAUCUUGGAGGGCACCACUUCCUGCAGCAGUGUCCUGAGUGCGGCAGCAGCGGCUCCGACAACCCUCACGCUGUGCCGUGAGGAGGACGGAAUGUGUGGGGCAGCAAGGAUGCCCUUGCCUAAGUAGUUAUGUCACCUGAGGGAGCCUUGCCAUCUCCCUGCCUGACAAGGGCACCACUGCCUGCCUCGUAUAUGCUUGGUACAGUACAGAGCAAGGAUUUCCAGCAGUCACGGCCACGACUGUCCAGCUACGAGUAACAUCCACAAUCUCAUAAAAAAUGAAAUUCUGCAUGUAAUGUAAUAGUAACAAAGUAAUUAUUGCAGAUCUUCUCGAUGCAGGUGCCAGGCGCUGUGUCCCGGCAGUGGGGCGCCCCACACAACAACAAAACAAGGGAGGUGCCUUGCUGUGGCAUUCCACUGGGUCAUGGAGGCACCACUCUAGAGAACAUGAGGAUAUGACACAGGCCUCCGAGUCAGUCACUGUCACGGCACCACUGUCUGUGUGUCUCCAUCACAGAGUCUUGCAAGUGUUGUAAAGCGAAGCACUGUCUUGGGCCUGCCACAGCGCUGAGGGCCUGUCACUGCUCAAGACUCGAGAGGCAACACAGCUGCAGUCACAAUAUGGACCAGGAAAGCUGUGUGUGUGUGUGUGUGUGUGUGUGUGUGUGUGUGUGUGUGUGUGUGUGUGUGUGUGUGUGUGUGUGUGUGUGUGUGUGUGUCAGGAGUGCAGCAGAUGGGCAGGAAUAGUCCACUUCACUGGGUGUACUGAUGCUGUCUGGCUCCAUCCAUUCACUCCCCAGCAGGCAGCACCAGAGGGCAGCACCAGCCUGGCCAGCAGCCCAAGCAGCAGCAAAGGGAACACCCGGGGAGCCUCACACUAUGACCCGGCUGUUGAUGGGCUCAGCCACCCCAAACCAGCGCAGCUUGAAGGAACUGUCCCGCCAGCUGAUGACGGGGUUCCACAGUGCAUGAAGGAAGAUGAACAGAGCGCUCACCUCCCGGAACAGCCAGCUGAUCACAAACUCAAACUUGGUGAAGGGUGGAGGGCCAUUCUGAAGGAAGAGGAAAAGGUUGAUGUUUCUUUUACAAUUUUUACUUGUGUGUGAGAAUGUUUUGCUCUAGCUGUCAUCUUUUCUCAUUAUUUCUAUGCAUUUACAAGAGCAGAUGCAGACACAUGCACACACAAAAAGUUGUUCAGCAAAAGAAGCUUAGAAAUUCAGCAAAUAUUUCAAAAAAGCAAGAUAUUAUAGUUUCCUGUAUUCUUUUAAGCAAACUGUUAUUUUCUAAUAUGUUUAUGCGAAGUAAAGAAAGUCUCAAGAAUACUGUAUUGCAUCUUUGCACUAUAAACCUAAACUCUAACACUAAUAAAGGUGAGAAUUACUGAA
Scylla paramamosain (green mud crab) is the source of this 13564-nucleotide long non-coding RNA. RefSeq lists it as uncharacterized. The record is from RefSeq and is a predicted model, not a curated record. NCBI's taxonomy places the organism in Eukaryota, Metazoa, Arthropoda, Malacostraca, Decapoda, Portunidae. The transcript has 2 exons.